Molecule: transfer RNA, 73 nt
Organism: Caenorhabditis elegans
Lineage: Eukaryota; Metazoa; Nematoda; Chromadorea; Rhabditida; Rhabditidae
Source: Ensembl
GCCUCGAUAGCUCAGUUGGGGUGAGCGUACGACUGAAAAUCGUUAGGUCACCAGUUCGAUCCUGGUUCGGGCA